GGCCUACCAUGGUGGUAACGGGUAACGGGGUGUUAGGGCACGACACCGGAGAGGGAGCCUGAGAAACGGCUACCACAUCCAAGGAUGGCAGCAGGCGCGCAAAUUACCCAAUCCCGAUACGGGGAGGUAGUGACAAUAAAUAACAAUACGGGGCUCUUUAGGGUCUCGUAAUUGGAAUGAGUACAAUUUAAAUCUCUUAACGAGGAACAAUUGGAGGGCAAGUCUGGUGCCAGCAGCCGCGGUAAUUCCAGCUCCAAUAGCGUAUAUUAAAGUUGUUGCAGUUAAAAAGCUCGUAGUUGAAUUUCGGGGUCAGCAGGUUGGUCGUGCCACUGGUAUGCACUGGUUUCGCUGAUUCCUCCUUUCUGAAGAACUGUAAUGCCAUUAAUUUGGUGUUGCAGGGAAACAGGACUGUUACUUUGAAAAAAUUAGAGUGUUUAAAGCAGGCUAACGCUUGAAUACAUUAGCAUGGAAUAAUGAAAUAGGACGUUUGAUCCUAUUUUGUUGGUUUCUAGGAUUGACGUAAUGAUUAAUAGGGAUAGUUGGGGGCAUUAGUAUUCAAUUGUCAGAGGUGAAAUUCUUGGAUUUAUUGAAGACUAACUACUGCGAAAGCAUUUGCCAAGGAUGUUUUCAUUAAUCAAGAACGAAAGUUAGGGGAUCGAAGACGAUCAGAUACCGUCGUAGUCUUAACCAUAAACUAUGCCGACUAGGGAUCGGAUGAUGUUAAUUUUUUUAAUGACUCAUUCGGCGCCUUACG
Molecule: ribosomal RNA, 754 nt
Filed under: uncultured Glomeraceae
Lineage: Eukaryota; Fungi; Glomeromycota; Glomeromycetes; Glomerales; Glomeraceae
Description: SSU rRNA
Rfam family: Eukaryotic small subunit ribosomal RNA
Source: RNAcentral